GCGCGCAAAUUACCCAAUCCCGACACGGGGAGGUAGUGACAAUAAAUAACAAUGCAGGGCCCUUUUGGGUCUUGUAAUUGGAAUGAGUACAAUUUAAAUCCCUUAACGAGGAACGAUUGGAGGGCAAGUCUGGUGCCAA
RNAcentral lists this ribosomal RNA (139 nucleotides) under uncultured bacterium. Its description in RNAcentral is "partial 16S rRNA". It matches the Rfam family "Eukaryotic small subunit ribosomal RNA", at positions 432 to 570 of the family's 1831-position model. The record is from RNAcentral.